CCUACGGGAGGCAGCAGUGGGGAAUAUUGGACAAUGGGUGGAACCCUGAUCCAGCGACGCCGCGUGAGUGAAGAAGUAUUUCGGUAUGUAAAGCUCUAUCAGCAGGGAAGAAAAUGACGGUACCUGACUAAGAAGCCCCGGCUAACUACGUGCCAGCAUCCGAGGUCAUACGUAGGGGGCAAGCGUUUUCCCGAUUUACUGAGUGUAAAGGGAGCGUAGACGGUUCAGCCAGUCGUAUGUGAAAGGUCGGGGCCCAAACCCGGGAAUGCACUGGAAACUGGUGAACUUGAGUACAGGAGAGGUCAGAGGAAUUCCUAGUGUAGCGGUGAAAUGCGUAGAUAUUAGGAGGAACACCAGUGGCGAAGGCGGCUGACUGGACUGUAACUGACGUUGAGGCUCGAAAGCGUGGGGAGCAAACAGGAUUAGAUACCCUAGUAGUC
RNAcentral lists this ribosomal RNA (440 nucleotides) under uncultured bacterium. RNAcentral describes it as "partial 16S ribosomal RNA". It matches the Rfam family "Bacterial small subunit ribosomal RNA", at positions 338 to 795 of the family's 1533-position model. The record is from RNAcentral.